This is a non-coding RNA of Pelobates cultripes (western spadefoot toad), 201 nucleotides long. Lineage: Eukaryota; Metazoa; Chordata; Amphibia; Anura; Pelobatidae. The record is from the annotation of a GenBank genome assembly.
CUAUAGUCAGCGGUUAGUUACCAGUCUUUCUACGGUCAGCGGUCAGUUACCAGUCUUUCUAUAGUCUGUGGUCUGAUACUGGUCUUUCUAUAGUCUGCGGUCUGUUACUGGUCUUUCUACGGUUAUAGAUCAGUUACCGAUCUUUCUACAAUGAGAGGUCAGUUACAAGUCUUUCUAUAGUCAGGGGUCAGUUACCGGUCU